This is a long non-coding RNA of Cynoglossus semilaevis (tongue sole), 583 nucleotides long. RefSeq lists it as uncharacterized. The record is from RefSeq and is a predicted model, not a curated record. Lineage: Eukaryota; Metazoa; Chordata; Actinopteri; Pleuronectiformes; Cynoglossidae. The transcript is spliced from 5 exons.
GCGGUCUCCACUUGCUCUUAGGUUUGCUGGUUACUGAGGUGACUGUUGCCAUGGGAUCCUGGGAAUGACCUCCACAUCAACAUGGCUGCUGGUGCACCCCCGCACCAUCACAGUUGCAGGCCAUUUUGCUGGUAUCAUCCAGGCUAAAAAGUUGAAACAUCUGGUACAGCACGAGGCAUGCUGUGUGGUUGAAGAGACGGUUUCUUUUCCAGUUGAACUCUACUUUUUCCUCUUGAAAGUCAUGCAGCACUAACAAAGUCUCAGGAAUGAAAGCCUGGAUGGCUUUGAAACGCUCAACCACAAACCCCAGAGUAGGAAACUGACAGCUGCCGUAUGAGAUCAGCUGAUUGGCCAGAGCCUCUGGAAAGAUCUUGCACAGACGCAGUGUCUGAAAUCGAGUGAACGACGCACCUGAGGAAGAUGAUACAGAAGAAAGGUUGAGAUCUGUUUGUUCGGUGCUACCUCACCUAUGCGUAAGUCCAGCUCCUGCCGCACAUCGACAGCAUCACUGACGUUUAUGUCCGGCUCUGUUAGAUUUUCACAGGCUCUUCGUAUAGAAGUUUGGGUUAUUUCAGAAAACUUG